CAGCAGCCGCGGUAAUACCGGCGGCCCGAGUGGCGGCCACUAUUAUUGGGCUUAAAGCGUCCGUAGCCGGGUUGGUUAGUCUCCCGGGAAAUCUGGCCGCUUAACGGUCAGAAUUCCGGGAGAUACUGCCAGCCUAGGGACCGGGAGAGGGCGAGGGUAUUCCCGGAGUAGGGGUGAAAUCCUAUAAUCCCGGGAGGACCACCUGGGGCGAAGGCGCCCCGCUGGAACGGGUCCGACGGUGAGGGACGAAGGCCAGGGGAGCAAACCGGAUUAGAUGCCCGGGUAGUCCUGGCUGUAAAGGAUGCGGGCUAGGUGUCGGGUGAGCUUCGAGCUCGCCCGGUGCCGUAGGGAAGCCGUUAAGCCCGCCGCCUGGGGAGUACGGCCGCAAGGCUGAAACUUAAAGGAAUUGGCGGG
Molecule: ribosomal RNA, 414 nt
Filed under: uncultured microorganism
Description: bacterial SSU rRNA
Rfam family: Archaeal small subunit ribosomal RNA
Source: RNAcentral